AGGUUAAGCUAGAAAGGGCGCACGGUGGAUGCCUUGGCACUAGGAGCCGAUGAAGGACGGGGCAAACGCCGAAACGCUCCGGGGAGCUGUAAGCAAGCGUYGAUCCGGAGAUGUCCGAAUGGGGGAACCCACUGUCCGUAAUGGGGCAGUAUCCAUGCCUGAAUCCAUAGGGCAUGGAGGGCACACCCGGGGAACUGAAACAUCUUAGUACCCGGAGGAGAAGAAAGCAAACGCGAUUCCCUGAGUAGCGGCGAGCGAAACGGGAACAGCCCAAACCAAGAGGCGUGCCUCUUGGGGUUGUAGGACCGCUCAUUGUGGGAGUGAGAAAGGAACGGGGUAGACGAACCGGUCUGGAACGGCCGGCCAGAGAAGGUGACAGCCCUGUAGUCGAAACUUCGUUCCCUCCCGAGCGGAUCCUGAGUACGGCGGGACACGGGAAAUCCCGUCGGAAGCAGGGAGGACCAUCUCCCAAGGCUAAAUACUCCCUAGUGACCGAUAGUGCACCAGUACCGUGAGGGAAAGGUGAAAAGCACCCCGGAAGGGGAGUGAAAGAGAACCUGAAACCGUGUGCCUACAAGUAGUCAGAGCGCGUUCAUGCGUGAUGGCGUGCCUUUUGUAGAAUGAACCGGCGAGUGACGAUGGCGUGCGAGGUUAAGCCGAAGAGGCGGAGCCGCAGCGAAAGCGAGUCUGAAYAGGGCGAAAAGUACGUCGUCGUCGACCCGAAACCAGGUGAUCUACCCAUGUCCAGGGUGAAGGCCGGGUAACACCGGCUGGAGGCCCGAACCCACGCACGUUGAAAAGUGCGGGGAUGAGGUGUGGGUAGGGGUGAAAUGCCAAUCGAACUUGGAGAUAGCUGGUUCUCCCCGAAAUAGCUUUAGGGCUAGCCUCGGGAUGGAGAGUGUUGGAGGUAGAGCACUGAUUGGGCUAGGGGCCCUCAUCGGGUUACCGAACCCAGUCAAACUCCGAAUGCCAACGACUUAUGCCCGGGAGUCAGACUGCGAGUGAUAAGAUCCGUGGUCGAGAGGGAAACAGCCCAGAUCGCCAGCUAAGGCCCCAAAGUGCACGUUCAGUGGAAAAGGAUGUGGAGUUGCAAAGACAACCAGGAUGUUGGCUUAGAAGCAGCCACCAUUUAAAGAGUGCGUAAUAGCUCACUGGUCGAGUGACUCUGCGCCGAAAAUGUACCGGGGCUAAACGUGCCGCCGAAGCUGCGGGAUGACCGUUGGUCAUCGGUAGGGGAGCGUUCUAAGGGCGUUGAAGCCAGACCGGAAGGACUGGUGGAGCGCUUAGAAGUGAGAAUGCCGGUAUGAGUAGCGAAAACAGAGGUGAGAAUCCUCUGCGCCGAAAGCCUAAGGGUUCCUGAGGAAGGUUCGUCCGCUCAGGGUUAGUCGGGACCUAAGCCGAGGCCGAAAGGCGUAGGUGAUGGACAACAGGUUGAGAUUCCUGUACCACCUCCUUCCCGUUUGAGCGAUGGGGGGACGCAGGAGGAUAGGGCGAGCAGGCGGCUGGAAGAGCCUGUCCAAGCCGCAAGGCUGAUCCGUAGGCAAAUCCGCGGAUUGUAAGGCCAAGCGGUGAUGGCGACGGAGUCAUCCGGAAGUCCCCGAUUUCACACUGCCAAGAAAAGCCUCUAGCGAGGGAAGAGGUGCCCGUACCGCAAACCGACACAGGUAGGCGAGGAGAGAAUCCUAAGGCGCGCGGGAGAACUCUCGUUAAGGAACUCGGCAAAAUGACCCCGUAACUUCGGGAGAAGGGGUGCUCGUUUGGGUGAAGAGCCCGAACGAGCCGCAGUGAAAAGGCCCAAGCGACUGUUUAUCAAAAACACAGGUCUCUGCGAAGCCGAAAGGCGACGUAUAGGGGCUGACACCUGCCCGGUGCUGGAAGGUUAAGGGGAGCGCUUAGCGGAAGCGAAGGUGCGAACCGAAGCCCCAGUAAACGGCGGCCGUAACUAUAACGGUCCUAAGGUAGCGAAAUUCCUUGUCGGGUAAGUUCCGACCCGCACGAAAGGUGUAACGACUUGGGCGCUGUCUCAACGAGAGACCCGGUGAAAUUAUACUACCUGUGAAGAUGCAGGUUACCCGCGACAGGACGGAAAGACCCCGUGGAGCUUUACUGCAGCCUGAUAUGGAAUUUUGGUAUCGCUUGUACAGGAUAGGUGGGAGCCUGGGAAGCCGGAGCGCCAGCUUCGGUGGAGGCGGCGGUGGGAUACCACGGGGUGGGAGACAGUGUCAGGCGGGCAGUUUGACUGGGGCGGUCGCCUCCCAAAAGGUAACGGAGGCGCCCAAAGGUUCCCUCAGAAUGGUUGGAAAUCAUUCGGAGAGUGCAAAGGCACAAGGGAGCUUGACUGCGAGACGGACAGGUCGAGCAGGGACGAAAGUCGGGCUUAGUGAUCCGGUGGUUCCGCAUGGAAGGGCCAUCGCUCAACGGAUAAAAGCUACCCCGGGGAUAACAGGCUGAUCUCCCCCAAGAGUCCACAUCGACGGGGAGGUUUGGCACCUCGAUGUCGGCUCAUCGCAUCCUGGGGCUGUAGUCGGUCCCAAGGGUUGGGCUGUUCGCCCAUUAAAGCGGUACGCGAGCUGGGUUCAGAACGUCGUGAGACAGUUCGGUCCCUAUCCGUCGCGGGCGCAGGAAAUUUGAGAGGAGCUGUCCUUAGUACGAGAGGACCGGGAUGGACGCACCGCUGGUGUACCAGUUGUCCCGCCAGGGGCACCGCUGGGUAGCUAUGUGCGGACGGGAUAAGCGCUGAAAGCAUCUAAGCGUGAAGCCCCCCUCAAGAUGAGAUUUCCCACCGCGUCAGGCGGGUAAGAUCCCUCGAAGAUGACGAGGUCGAUAGGUCCGAGGUGGAAGCGUGGCGACACGUGGAGCUGACGGAUACUAAUCGAUCGAGGGCUUAACC
Molecule: ribosomal RNA, 2890 nt
Filed under: Geobacillus sp. WSUCF-018B
Lineage: Bacteria; Bacillati; Bacillota; Bacilli; Caryophanales; Anoxybacillaceae
Description: bacterial LSU rRNA
Rfam family: Bacterial large subunit ribosomal RNA
Source: RNAcentral